Molecule: ribosomal RNA, 535 nt
Filed under: Halomonas sp. MS1
Lineage: Bacteria; Pseudomonadati; Pseudomonadota; Gammaproteobacteria; Oceanospirillales; Halomonadaceae
Description: bacterial SSU rRNA
Rfam family: Bacterial small subunit ribosomal RNA
Source: RNAcentral
UGAACGCUGGCGGCAGGCCUAACACAUGCAAGUCGAGCGGUAACAGGGGUACCUUGCUACCCGCUGACGAGCGGCGGACGGGUGAGUAAUGCAUAGGAAUCUGCCCGAUAGUGGGGGAUAACCUGGGGAAACCCAGGCUAAUACCGCAUACGUCCUACGGGAGAAAGGGGGCUUCGGCUCUCGCUAUUGGAUGAGCCUAUGUCGGAUUAGCUAGUUGGUGAGGUAAUGGCUCACCAAGGCAACGAUCCGUAGCUGGUCUGAGAGGAUGAUCAGCCACAUCGGGACUGAAACACGGCCCGAACUCCUACGGGGAGGCAGCAGUGGGGAAUAUUGGACAAUGGGCGAAAGCCUGAUCCAGCCAUGCCGCGUGUGUGAAGAAGGCCCUCGGGUUGUUAAGCACUUUCAGCGAGGAAGAACCCUAGUGGUUAAUACCCAUUAGGAAAGACAUCACCCCCCAAAAAAACCCCCGCUUACUCCUUCCCACAGCCGCGGUUAUUACCGAAGGUUUCAACCGUUUAUCCGAAUUUACUGGGGC